RNAcentral lists this ribosomal RNA (257 nucleotides) under uncultured bacterium. RNAcentral's name for it is "partial 16S ribosomal RNA". It matches the Rfam family "Bacterial small subunit ribosomal RNA", at positions 1246 to 1500 of the family's 1533-position model. The record is from RNAcentral.
ACAGCCAAGUCGUGAGGCGGAGCUAAUCCCUUAAAGCCAUUCUCAGUUCGGAUUGUAGGCUGAAACUCGCCUACAUGAAGCUGGAGUUACUAGUAAUCGCAGAUCAGAAUGCUGCGGCGAAUGCGUUCCCGGGUCUUGUACACACCGCCCGUCACACCACGGAAGUUGGGGGCGCCCGAAGCCACUUAGCUAACCCUUUUGGGAAGCGAGUGUCGAAGGUGAAAUCAAUAACUGGGGUGAAGUCGUAACAAGGUAAC